GACGAACGCUGGCGGCGUGCCUAAUACAUGCAAGUAGAACGCUGAAGGAGGAGCUUGCUUCUCUGGAUGAGUUGCGAACGGGUGAGUAACGCGUAGGUAACCUGCCUGGUAGCGGGGGAUAACUAUUGGAAACGAUAGCUAAUACCGCAUAAUAGUAGAUGUUGCAUGACAUUUGCUUAAAAGGUGCAAUUGCCUCACUACCAGAUGGACCUGCGUUGUAUUAGCUAGUUGGUGAGGUAACGGCUCACCAAGGCGACGAUGCAUAGCCGACCUGAGAGGGUGAUCGGCCACACUGGGACUGAGACACGGCCCAGACUCCUACGGGAGGCAGCAGUAGGGAAUCUUCGGCAAUGGACGGAAGUCUGACCGAGCAACGCCGCGUGAGUGAAGAAGGUUUUCGGAUCGUAAAGCUCUGUUGUAAGAGAAGAACGAGUGUGAGAGUGGAAAGUUCACACUGUGACGGUAUCUUACCAGAAAGGGACGGCUAACUACGUG
This 495-nucleotide ribosomal RNA is filed under the name uncultured bacterium. RNAcentral describes it as "partial 16S ribosomal RNA". It matches the Rfam family "Bacterial small subunit ribosomal RNA", at positions 28 to 507 of the family's 1533-position model. The record is from RNAcentral.